This 69-nucleotide transfer RNA is filed under the name Marmota monax (woodchuck). It matches the Rfam family "tRNA". From Rfam's summary of the family: Transfer RNA (tRNA) molecules are approximately 80 nucleotides in length. Their secondary structure includes four short double-helical elements and three loops (D, anti-codon, and T loops). The record is from Rfam by way of RNAcentral. Lineage: Eukaryota; Metazoa; Chordata; Mammalia; Rodentia; Sciuridae.
GGAGCUAUGGCUCAGUGGUAGAGCAUUUACCUGGCAUGUAUGAGGCGCUGGGUUUGAUUCUUAGCACCA